Poeciliopsis prolifica (blackstripe livebearer) is the source of this 2009-nucleotide long non-coding RNA. RefSeq lists it as uncharacterized. The record is from RefSeq and is a predicted model, not a curated record. The transcript has 2 exons. Lineage: Eukaryota; Metazoa; Chordata; Actinopteri; Cyprinodontiformes; Poeciliidae.
UCCUGGAAUCUGACAGGAACAAAUCAAUAAUCAAUGAUUGAUGCUUCAACACUUUGAUCAGAACCUGGAAUGAUUUUACUGACUAAAAUCCUCCAACUCAUCAUGACCCAGUACCAGGUUCUGGUUCUGGUUCUGAAGUCAGCAGGUCUUUAUUGGAGCAGCAGCUUGUUGGCAUUAAUAUUCAUGAGAAUCUUUAACUGGUUCUGUUGGACUGGUUAACCUGCAUCCUGUUGGUUCACAUCUUUUAUUCUUUAUUCAGGUUGAAUUGCUGCAGGUUGUCAAAGAUCAGCUGUGAUUAUUUGGCCUCAGCUCUGAAGUCCAACCCGACCCGUCUGACAGAACUGGACCUGAUUGGAAACAACCUGAAGGAAUCAGAUGUUCAGCAGCUGAAGGAUCUUGUAGAGACUUUAGAGUGGAAGAUCUGAUGAUCUCUGUAAAGUAGAGAACGUCUCUGUGUCCUGCUGAUCCUCACAGGUUGAAGCUGCAGCAGUUUGAGUCUAAAGAGACUCUGGAUCAAUGAUGACCUUUGACCUCAGAACAUUUUCUAUUUCAAAUAUUUUCCAGACGUCGAUUGUUGAAGAUUUUCAGUUUUAUUUUUCAUCUGAUCUGUUUGAUGAUCUGCAGGAACAAAGAGAGAAAAAUACUCUGAGUUUGUUAGAAAAGUUGAAUUGAGCAAAAACAUGAAGCAUAAAUUUCAUUAAAAAGCUUUAAAGAGUUUGUUAAUGGGACAAAAUGUUAUUUUAUUCUGUUGAGGUGAAAAAAGUUGAUCUAAAAUCAGACAUGAUAGCAGCUCUAUAGAUUCAGAGCCAAACAGUAAAACUUCCUCUGGAUCUGUGGCAUUAAAUCCACUUGAGAUCCAGACGUCCUGACCAGAUCCUGCAGAGAAAAGAAACAAUAUUUGAACGUGGAUCAUUUGGACUCGGCUGCUUGGACGUGUGUUUGGAUUUGAAAGGUUUUGUUGUGAAGCAGAAAGUUGAUGAAGUUCACAGUGAAGACGACUUCAGUCCACCUGAAACCUGGUUUCACUCAAACGUCUUUAUUCACUUUAAGUUUCUGAUGCAACAAGAAGGAAGAAAAGGUCAAAGGUGAACCAGAGAUCGACUCCAUGUUGCUCACAGAUGUGAUGGGAUCAGUUUGCACAGCUGUUCAAGGAGAACAGUUUUAUUUUCCUGCUUUUGUUGAUGGAUGCAAAUUUGCAUCAGAAGAUGAGAAAAUAACUUUCUGUGGUUUAUUUGUGUGGAUUUAAAGUGGAACAAGUUUAAAGAAAAACUAGAGGAGAAACCUGAGCCAGCGUUCUGACAGACCAAACACUGAGGAACCAGAGUUUGCAUCGUCAAAGUGACGAAAUCAUCUGAAUGUUGUGACUCGUUUCCCAUCAAAUCCCUGACAGGAGAAGCAAAACCUCACGUCUCCAACAUGAAGCUGCAACAGGAUGCAGAACUUCCACCGAGCGUCACGUCACUCACAGCAGAUCAGGAGCCUCGCGCUUCACCUCAACACCGCCUAAAACCUGGGACCAGGGGUUAAAGGUCAUCUCCUGCACCUAGUGCAACAUUUCACUUCUUAUGAGAGCGCGUCUCAGUUUAGAGGCCAAAAGCAGCAAGAAGCUUCAGAGUUUUCCUGCAACGUAGCUCUGGUCUGUUGGCUUCAGUGAGGCUGGUUUUACUGAAGAUGUGUUCAGGUACGCAGGAAAAUUCAGCGCUGAUACAGACGGGACGAGCGACUCCACCUCUGAUGAUGCUUGGACAAAAGUUAAUAUGUUCAUGAGAUGAAACAGUUAAUUUUCCUCACAUAUCAGGACAUUCUCCAUCGGUCAUCCUGCCGUCGUUCUGGAUUUAUUCAUUAUUUACAUCAUCAAUAGAAAUUGUUCAACCAGAUGUUUCUCUUUGUUUUAAUUUUCACUGUUAUAAAGUCAGAUCAAGUCAGCUUACAUUACUGUUGUUAAAUAAGAGUCACUGCAGGAUUUUAUUCAGUUUGAUUAGAAAUAAAACGUCUUGUAAAGAGUUUAA